GAUGAACGCUCGCUACAGGCUUAACACAUGCAAGUCGAGGGGAAACGAUGAGAGAGCUUGCUCUCUUAGUCGUCGACCGGCGCACGGGUGAGUAACGCGUAUCCAACCUGCCUCUGACCAAGGGAUAACCCGUCGAAAGUCGGACUAAUACCUUAUGCAGUCGUCGGAAGUCAUCUGAUGACGACGAAAGAUUUCAUCGGUGAGAGAUGGGGAUGCGUCUGAUUAGCUUGUUGGCGGGGUAACGGCCCACCAAGGCGACGAUCAGUAGGGGUUCUGAGAGGAAGGUCCCCCACAUUGGAGCUGAGACACGGUCCAAACUCCUACGGGAGGCAGCGGUGAGGAAUGUAGGUCGAUGGGCGUAAGCCUGAACCAGCCAAGUGGCGUGCAGGAUGACGGCCCUAUGGGUUGUAAGCUGCUUUUAUGCGGGGAUAAAGUGAGGGACGUGUCCUUCAUUGCAGGUACCGCAUGAAUAAGGACCGGCUAAUUCCGUG
This 491-nucleotide ribosomal RNA is filed under the name uncultured bacterium. RNAcentral describes it as "partial 16S ribosomal RNA". It matches the Rfam family "Bacterial small subunit ribosomal RNA", at positions 28 to 507 of the family's 1533-position model. The record is from RNAcentral.